UUAAUUGAAGCCAAAAAGAGGCCCUCCAUUGUUAAUGGAGCCAUUGGUGAAUUAACCCAAUUAAA
This 65-nucleotide transfer RNA is filed under the name Leptocorisa oratoria. Its description in RNAcentral is "tRNA-Asn". Lineage: Eukaryota; Metazoa; Arthropoda; Insecta; Hemiptera; Alydidae. The record is from RNAcentral.